Molecule: long non-coding RNA, 553 nt
Organism: Oxyura jamaicensis (ruddy duck)
Lineage: Eukaryota; Metazoa; Chordata; Aves; Anseriformes; Anatidae
Exons: 2
Source: RefSeq, a predicted model, not a curated record
GUCCCCGCCUCGCCUGAGUUCAGUCCAUGGCGGGAGCUCACCGCCACCCGCGUCCCCCUGCACAGGGGCAGCGAUGCGGUGCGGCGCGAGAGACUCACUGGUCACAACUCCUUAAAGAUGCAAAUUGAGAAGCAGCCAUCAUAGCAAGAGACUUCUGUUAAUUCUCAUCUGAGUAUGCAGAUUUCAGUGCUGACUUUUGCUAGGCUUAUUUGUUUUAUUUAGCAAUAAAUUUAAUACAGGCUCCCUGAAGCAAAGAGACAGAUGGACUAUAAACUUUGAAUUUUGAGUAGCUUUACAUCCUUAGCCCCCCCAGCCCCCUGUGGCCAUGCACCUUCGCACCGGAAUAACGAGUGGCCACUUAAUGAGCCACCUUCUAAUUUUUUGCAUGGGUUACGUGAAAGUAUGCUAAAUACCACCUAAAUGGUGCAUACCCUGGCUGCUGGAGUUAUUCCAGAGACUCACAGAAGGACCCGAGAAAACCAAAGCACCACGUGUUUCCUCUGGGUCCAAGUGGGAAACCCCCGGGCUGAAAUAAAAUGAUGCGCUUGGAGAA